Molecule: ribosomal RNA, 274 nt
Filed under: uncultured bacterium
Lineage: Bacteria
Description: partial 16S ribosomal RNA
Rfam family: Bacterial small subunit ribosomal RNA
Source: RNAcentral
AUACGGAGGGUGCAAGCGUUACUCGGAAUCACUGGGCGUAAAGCGCGCGCAGGCGGGCUGAUAAGUUGGAUGUGAAAGCCUACGGCUCAACCGUAGAACUGCAUCCAAAACUGUCAGUCUAGAGUCUGCGAGGGGAAGAUGGAAUUAGUUGUGUAGGGGUAAAAUCCGUAGAGAUAACUAGGAAUACCAAAAGCGAAGGCGAUCUUCUGGAACAGUACUGACGCUGAGGCGCGAAAGCGUGGGGAGCAAACAGAAUUAGAAACCCUAGUAGUCC